RNAcentral lists this ribosomal RNA (402 nucleotides) under bacterium. RNAcentral's name for it is "partial 16S ribosomal RNA". It matches the Rfam family "Bacterial small subunit ribosomal RNA", at positions 355 to 776 of the family's 1533-position model. The record is from RNAcentral.
UGGGGAAUUUUGCACAAUGGGGGAAACCCUGAUGCAGCGACGCCGCGUGAUUUAGAAGGCCUUCGGGUUGUAAAAAUCUUUUCUAUGGGAAGAAAAUGACAGUACCAUAGGAAUAAGGACCGGCUAAUUACGUGCCAGCAGCCGCGGUAAUACGUAAGGUCCGAGCGUUGUCCGGAAUCAUUGGGCGUAAAGGGUACGUAGGCGGGUAAGCAAGUUAGAAGUGAAAUCCUAUAGCUCAACUAUAGUAAGCUUUUAAAACUGCUCAUCUUGAGGUAUGGAAGGGAAAGUGGAAUUCCUAGUGUAGCGGUGAAAUGCGCAGAUAUUAGGAGGAAUACCGGUGGCGAAGACGACUUUCUGGCCAUAACCUGACGCUGAGGUACGAAAGCGUGGGUAGCAAACAGG